Molecule: long non-coding RNA, 670 nt
Filed under: Paramuricea clavata
Lineage: Eukaryota; Metazoa; Cnidaria; Anthozoa; Malacalcyonacea; Plexauridae
Source: RNAcentral
ACAAAAUAUGCAAACUUCGCAAGGCUAUAUUUUCCGUAUUUUACAACAUUUGGUAACCAAAGUUUGCAAUUUUACUAAUUUUAAUAAGAUCUUUACGGGAAAUUUCUUUUUUUCGCCUAGAUCAAAAAUUAGUCUAACAUGCAAGUUGUCUAUUGUAGAUGGAAAUUUCGAGUGUCAAGGCCAGAGGGCCGAUAUUUUUCGCAACUUCUCCUGGUUUAGGUCUAAUAAAGGUAUAAAAAAUUCCACUCGAAACUUAAAUUUACAACUUCCUUGAACAAUGCUCAAAAUGGUUGUUUGUUAUCAAGGCAUUCUAUCACGCUUGGUGUAUGAAACACAUAUCACAAAAACACGAUCAUUCCUUUGGUGUAAAAUCAAAACAUAUAUAUAUGGGAAUAACAUUUCCACUCUUGUGCAGUCUGCUUCCUCUGUUUUCAUGGCUUUGUUUCCUGUACGUUUUUGUCUGCAUCAUCAACCUUGCUAGGUUCUUAUUCGGUUAUUUGCUCUGCGCUAGGUUGAUCUUUGUUUUCUUCUGCUUUUGUUUCUUCAUCUUCACUAUCUUCCUCAGGCUAUAUAGAGAAUAGGAGAUUAUUAUACAUCACCAGUGGCAGUCGUCUCAGCCUAGACUAUCUAUUUUUGUAACAAUUGAGAUAUUACCUUCCUAACUGUGUUU